UACGUAGGGCGCAAGCGUUGUCCGGAAUUAUUGGGCGUAAAGAGCUCGUAGGCGGUUUGUCGCGUCUGCUGUGAAAACCUAAGGCUCAACCUUGGGCUUGCAGUGGGUACGGGCAGACUAGAGUGCGGUAGGGGUGACUGGAAUUCCUGGUGUAGCGGUGGAAUGCGCAGAUAUCAGGAGGAACACCGGUGGCGAAGGCGGGUCUCUGGGCCGAUAUUGACGCUGAGGAGCGAAAGCGUGGGGAGCGAACAGG
Molecule: ribosomal RNA, 253 nt
Filed under: uncultured bacterium
Lineage: Bacteria
Description: partial 16S ribosomal RNA
Rfam family: Bacterial small subunit ribosomal RNA
Source: RNAcentral